RNAcentral lists this ribosomal RNA (465 nucleotides) under uncultured bacterium. RNAcentral's name for it is "partial 16S ribosomal RNA". It matches the Rfam family "Bacterial small subunit ribosomal RNA", at positions 338 to 795 of the family's 1533-position model. The record is from RNAcentral.
CCUACGGGUGGCAGCAGUGGGGAAUAUUGCGCAAUGGGCGAAAGCCUGACGCAGCGACGCCGCGUGAGGGAUGAAGGUCUUCGGAUCGUAAACCUCUGUCAGCAGGGAAGAACGGUCACUGUGCUAAUCAGCAGUGAAUUGACGGUACCUGCAAAGGAAGCACCGGCUAACUCCGUGCCAGCAGCCGCGGUAAUACGGAGGGUGCGAGCGUUAAUCGGAAUUACUGGGCGUAAAGCGCUCGUAGGCGGUAUGUCAAGUCAAGGGUGAAAUCCCCGCGCUCAACGUGGGAACUGCCUUUGAAACUGGCAAACUGGAGUGUGUGAGAGGAUAGUGGAAUUCCAUGUGUAGCGGUAAAAUGCGUAGAUAUAUGGAAGAACACCAGUGGCGAAGGCGGCCGCCUGGCCUGUUGCUGACGCUGAGGCACGAAAGCGUGGGGAGCAAAUAGGAUUAGAUACCAUUGUAGUC